GUAAACCACUCGGCACACUUUCAAAAUGGCUAAUUGUGCCCAAUUGUGCCGAAAGUGUGCCGAAACGUGCCGAGAAAAAAAAAGUUUGGCGGCACUGGUUUUCAUAAUGUUGGCAUCACGGGGAGAAAUAAUGUAAAUAAAUAACAAAAACAGAGGAACUCCUUCGAAAAGCUUCGAACCUUUGAAAGGAAUUAUUAAUCUUAGCUGUUAAAUCAUAUAUAUAUUUCGUAUAAAACCGCAUUCAGGUCAGUGAAAUAACACACAUGAAAUAUAUUUAAUUUUUCGCUACCCUUGGCCUCACACGCACCACAAACAACGGAAAUUUGCAAGUGGAUCAUCGCGGCCAUCGAAACCGGGUGGUUUUAUCAUCGGUUUCACCACAGAAGUUACCGGCAUAUAGUACUAUUCCCAUAAAAGAACCCGGAAUAAGCAGGCAAUAUGUUGCUGCCACUCCGUAUGAAUGCAUUAUACGGGACAUUAUAUUUACCACCAAGCACAUCCAUCCUGUGGUGGCGCAUUAUCCUGUGCCAGUGUCUAUUAUUCCCCACGUCCAACCGGAAUUCCAUGCCUACUCUUUUCGGAGGUGUUCUGGAACGAUCCAUCGCCGAGUGAACCUUGUCGACUUAUGCGGAACCGUUUGUCUAAAUGCGCCAAUAAGCAUCAACAACCGAAACUAACACUUCUGAUUAUCGUUUCUGACCAAAAGCAACCAUUUGAACACCUUCAGAAGGAAAUAUCAAUGUGGCAGAUAAGCGUAGGAUCCGACGACAAAGAGGACCCGGUGAGGAACAAUUGACGUAGUCGUUGUUUUUAACAGUAACAGCAUAAAAAUAAGAAUGUGAAAAUAAAACCACAUAAAACUG
This is a long non-coding RNA of Armigeres subalbatus, 863 nucleotides long. RefSeq lists it as uncharacterized. The transcript has 2 exons. NCBI's taxonomy places the organism in Eukaryota, Metazoa, Arthropoda, Insecta, Diptera, Culicidae. The record is from RefSeq and is a predicted model, not a curated record.